GAUGAACGCUGGCGGCGUGCCUAAUACAUGCAAGUCGAGCGAACGGACGAGAAGCUUGCUUCUCUGAUGUUAGCGGCGGACGGGUGAGUACCACGUGAUAACCUACCUAUAAGACUGGGAUAACUUCGGGAAACCGGAGCUAAUACCGGAUAAUAUUUUGAACCGCAUGGUUCAAAAGUGAAAGACGGUCUUGCUGUCACUUAUAGAUGGAUCCGCGCUGCAUUAGCUAGUUGGUAAGGUAACGGCUUACCAAGGCAACGAUGCAUAGCCGACCUGAGAGGGUGAUCGGCCACACUGGAACUGAGACACGGUCCAGACUCCUACGGGAGGCAGCAGUAGGGAAUCUUCCGCAAUGGGCGAAAGCCUGACGGAGCAACGCCGCGUGAGUGAUGAAGGUCUUCGGAUCGUAAAACUCUGUUAUUAGGGAAGAACAUAUGUGUAAGUAACUGUGCACAUCUUGACGGUACCUAAUCAGAAAGCCACGGCUAACUACGUG
This 496-nucleotide ribosomal RNA is filed under the name uncultured bacterium. Its description in RNAcentral is "partial 16S ribosomal RNA". It matches the Rfam family "Bacterial small subunit ribosomal RNA", at positions 28 to 507 of the family's 1533-position model. The record is from RNAcentral.